GGAGCUGUAGCUCAGUGGUAAAGCACUUGCCUCACAUGUAUGAGGCACUGGAUUCGAUCCUUAGCACCA
RNAcentral lists this transfer RNA (69 nucleotides) under Ictidomys tridecemlineatus (thirteen-lined ground squirrel). RNAcentral describes it as "Spermophilus tridecemlineatus (thirteen-lined ground squirrel) tRNA". It matches the Rfam family "tRNA". Rfam says of the family: Transfer RNA (tRNA) molecules are approximately 80 nucleotides in length. Their secondary structure includes four short double-helical elements and three loops (D, anti-codon, and T loops). The record is from Rfam by way of RNAcentral. Lineage: Eukaryota; Metazoa; Chordata; Mammalia; Rodentia; Sciuridae.